GUGUUGUGUGAAAGCAGAGAAAGUUGGCACUCCCCUCGACAAGCGUGAAAAAGGCCCUCAGGCCUUACGACAUGCAUGUAGUUAAGGCAUUGCCACCUACUUUAUGACAUCUAAAAACAGAUUUUA
RNAcentral lists this non-coding RNA (126 nucleotides) under Procavia capensis (Cape rock hyrax). Lineage: Eukaryota; Metazoa; Chordata; Mammalia; Hyracoidea; Procaviidae. The record is from RNAcentral.